CCCACAUUUAGAUAUAAUGUUAUAUAAUUUUAGAUAGUUUUUUAAAACUCUGAGGAGCCAGGGAAGAAGUGAGUUAGAGACCUGAAACAUUCACUAUUUCAAAGACCAGUUGGACUCCUUAACCCUGCUUUAGAUCAGGUAGUCGCCUUGGUCCAGACCAGCACCCCAGGGCAGUUUGUUAAGUAUACCGUUGUCUUUUUUUGAGGCCAGCUCUUGUUCAUGUGGUCAUAAACCUCUCUGUAGAGCCAAGUAAUUUGUACAACUCUACAGCUCACUGAGUGAAGGUGGAAAUACUUUCUUACACUUCCAGCCCAGAACACUUUCUGUUUUCCACACUUAACCUGUUGGUCUGAAAAGUCUCCUUGACACCCCCCAGCACUGACCCAAUAACUACUGAAGGAAGGGUUCAGAUGGGGAGAUAGUUCACUUACGGAUGUUGCAGAUAAACACCUGGGAUUUGUCAUCCAAAGCUGUUACUUCGGGAUGCGACCAGUGGCAUUUAUACCCUUAAGAUGACCGUGACCUCAGGGGACUUUGCUUUGGGAAAGGAGAAGUCACAAGUUUAGUGGAAAAAUAACCAGAGUCAAGGCUGUGUGUAGAUCAUUUUUUCACUUUUCUCCUUUCCUUUGUCAGAUGCUGUCUUAUUAGAAGACAUCUGAGUAUGUUUGAAUUUUCUGAAACUUAUCCAAGAAGGUACCAAGGAGGAUAUAGGCAGGAAGGAAGGAAAUCCAACCUAUGGUGUCAGAAUAGGCUGUGGCCUGUUGGAAGGCAGGUGACUCAGGUAAACGUUGAUAAAUGUUUCUUUCUGACAUGCGUUAGGAGCGUUACGAUUGUUCACAUCUCACUAGGUUGAUUUCCGCUGCGUUGUCCAAAUUAUAAAUCCCUAAUAGUUAAGUGAAGUUUCACGU
Molecule: long non-coding RNA, 908 nt
Filed under: Bos taurus (domestic cattle)
Lineage: Eukaryota; Metazoa; Chordata; Mammalia; Artiodactyla; Bovidae
Description: long non-coding RNA NONBTAT015611
Source: RNAcentral